AGUGGCGACUGAACGGGAAUUAGCCCAUCGAUGAAUCCUCUGUGUUAGUGUGCACAGUUGGAGUUGUGUCGUAUGGCCGGCGCUGGUUGAUACAGGAGUCGCUCGAAGUCCACUUGACUGUGGCUUCCUGAGAGGGUGAAAGACCCGUGUGAGCGAAUCGUGUAGAGACAGGUGUUGGUCUGGAGUAGGAUUGUCUGAGAUCGCAGUCCGAAGUAGGUGGUAAACCCCAUCUAAGGCUAAAUAUGACCACGAGACCGAUAGCAAACAAGUACCGUGAGGGAAAGUUGCAAAGAACUCUGAAGAGAGAGUUCAAGAGGACGUGAAACCGGUAGGAAGGAAGCGAAUAGAGUCGAUGAAGAUUGGGCUCGAUUCAGCCGUACGUGAAAGGCUUCGUGCUUUAGCUGCGGUUCAUUUCGAACUCAUGGCGCCGAGUUGUAUGCUUGGUCGCAAUGACGUCGCACGUUGGUGCCCACUGAAGUGGUGUCUCUCGUGUGACUGACGUGCGUGCCGGGUAUGCAGAAGCUGUUGAUCUCACGAUCAUCACUCGGUGUGAAAGUCGAUCACCUAUUCGACCCGUCUUGAAACACGGACCAAGAAGUCUAACAUAUGCGCGAGUCAUUGAGUGUUCAAAACUCAUAGGCGUAAUGAAAGUGAAGGCUAGCAUUAGUUGGCUUACAUGUGAUCGGAAGGGUUCGUCCCGACCGCGCAACAUGGCCCCAUUCAGUUCGCUGUGUGGAGGUAGAGCGUAUAUGUUAGGACCCGAAAGAUGGUGAACUAUACAUGAGCAGGAUGAAGCCAGAGGAAACUCUGGUGGAAGUCCGAAGCGGUUCUGACGUGCAAAUCGAUCGUCUGACUUGUGUAUAGGGGCGAAAGACUAAUCGAACUU
This 886-nucleotide ribosomal RNA is filed under the name Brevibucca sp. SB-261. RNAcentral's name for it is "eukaryotic LSU rRNA". It matches the Rfam family "Eukaryotic large subunit ribosomal RNA", at positions 85 to 942 of the family's 3401-position model. The record is from RNAcentral. Lineage: Eukaryota; Metazoa; Nematoda; Chromadorea; Rhabditida; Brevibuccidae.